AUGCUCACUUCGGAAGCAUAUAUACUAAAAUUGGAACAAUACAGAGAAGAUUAGCAUGGCUCCUGCGCAAGGAUGACAAGCAAAUUCGUGAUGCAUUCCAGAGUGAU
Suncus etruscus (white-toothed pygmy shrew) is the source of this 107-nucleotide small nuclear RNA. Lineage: Eukaryota; Metazoa; Chordata; Mammalia; Eulipotyphla; Soricidae. The record is from RefSeq and is a predicted model, not a curated record.